Lactuca sativa (garden lettuce) is the source of this 574-nucleotide long non-coding RNA. RefSeq lists it as uncharacterized. The record is from RefSeq and is a predicted model, not a curated record. NCBI's taxonomy places the organism in Eukaryota, Viridiplantae, Streptophyta, Magnoliopsida, Asterales, Asteraceae.
UCAAGUUUGAACCAUCCAAGAUCUUCUUAAAGAUGAAUAUGAUGAAGAUCUUUUUGAGUAUUAUGCCACCUCACAACUUCUUUUAGUUUCUUUAGACGGGAGUGUGAAAUUAUUUGGGGAGCCAACUCUAUACACAUCACUUGAUCCCUCCCCUGAUCAGAAAUACAUUUUACUGGGAGGAGAUACAAGAUGUUGGUGAUGCCAAAGUAGAAGUUUCACCUAGUGACACAGAUACGGGUGAAAAGAAGAUAAUAUGGCACAACGACAAGGAGAAGUAUUAUGAGAGUGUGGUGACUCUAAUGUUGGACCAGAAGGAAGGGGAGUUACAAGUGAAUGAGCUGAAGGUCCUGACCUCCAAAGAGUCUAACAAAUAUUGAGGUUUCUGUGAUUAAUAGAUAUUGAUAUAAUUAAGGUAAUUGUUAUUUAUUAGUUUUAGUUAAUUAUUAAUAUAUGUUAGUUUUAAUGGUUAAUUAAGGUAAUUGUCAUUAUUAAUAGCUAAUAUUCGUUAGUUUUAAUUAUCAAUAUCUAUUAAUAGCUAAUAUUUGGAGGUCCAAACCUCCAAAGAGUAACAAAC